RNAcentral lists this long non-coding RNA (452 nucleotides) under Ovis aries (sheep). RNAcentral's name for it is "lncRNA (ENSOARG00000026494.1)". The record is from RNAcentral. Lineage: Eukaryota; Metazoa; Chordata; Mammalia; Artiodactyla; Bovidae.
AGAUGGCAGGGGGCGGGCUCGUCGCGUGGCCCCGCCCUCUCCGGUCAGCGGUUGCCGGGAGGGCGGCGCCCGGGCCGCGGCUGCGGCGGCUCCUCAGGUCUGAAGAGAGGCGUCCAUGUUCACACCAGGAGGUGAAAAGAAGCUGGAGCCACAGUGAUGAGUGAGACCUACGUGAAGAGGCUGUCCACCAUCCUGCUGGACGCCAUCACUGACAAGGACCCUCGGGUGCAGGAGCAGGUAUGUGGCGCCCUGUGCGCCCUCGGAGAGUCGCAGCCAGCGGAGGUGCUUAGCGCCUGUGAGGAGCACCUGCGGCUGCACGAAAAGGUAUUGCUCCUCACUCCGCGGAUGGGGUGAGGCCUGCGGGGAGGGGCCUGUGGUGAGGGAUGGGACCUGUGGGUGGGGUUCGUGGCGAGAGGCGGGGUCUGUGGUGGGGCGGGGCCUUUGGUGGGGGG